RNAcentral lists this ribosomal RNA (301 nucleotides) under uncultured bacterium. RNAcentral describes it as "partial 16S ribosomal RNA". It matches the Rfam family "Bacterial small subunit ribosomal RNA", at positions 509 to 807 of the family's 1533-position model. The record is from RNAcentral.
CAGCAGCCGCGGUAACACGAAGGGUGCAAGCGUUAAUCGGAAUUACUGGGCGUAAAGCGUGCGUAGGCGGUUUGUUAAGUCUGCUGUGAAAUCCCCGGGCUCAACCUGGGAAUGGCAGUGGAUACUGGCAAGCUAGAGUGUGUCAGAGGAUGGUGGAAUUCCCGGUGUAGCGGUGAAAUGCGUAGAGAUCGGGAGGAACAUCAGUGGCGAAGGCGGCCAUCUGGGACAACACUGACGCUGAGGCACGAAAGCGUGGGGAGCAAACAGGAUUAGAUACCCCCGUAGUCCCUGUCUCUUAUAC